This 77-nucleotide transfer RNA is filed under the name Chloroflexota bacterium. RNAcentral describes it as "Chloroflexi bacterium (sediment metagenome) tRNA-Arg". It matches the Rfam family "tRNA". Rfam says of the family: Transfer RNA (tRNA) molecules are approximately 80 nucleotides in length. Lineage: Bacteria; Bacillati; Chloroflexota. The record is from RNAcentral.
GCCCCCGUAGCUCAGUGGACGAGAGCGCCUGGCUUCGGACCAGGAGGCCGCGGGUUCGAAUCCUGCCGGGGGUGCCG